Molecule: ribosomal RNA, 161 nt
Filed under: uncultured bacterium
Lineage: Bacteria
Description: partial 16S ribosomal RNA
Rfam family: Bacterial small subunit ribosomal RNA
Source: RNAcentral
UAGGGAAUUUCGUCAAUGGGCGCAAGCCUGAACGAGCAAUGCCGCGUGAACGAGGAAGGUCUUCGGAUCGUAAAGUUCUGUUGAAGGGGAAAAAGAGCGGAGAGAGGAAAUGGUCUCCGAUUGAUAUUACCCUUCGAGGAAGUCACGGCUAACUACGUGCC